Molecule: ribosomal RNA, 301 nt
Filed under: uncultured bacterium
Lineage: Bacteria
Description: partial 16S ribosomal RNA
Rfam family: Bacterial small subunit ribosomal RNA
Source: RNAcentral
CAGUCGCCGCGGGAACACGGAGGAUCCGAGCGUUAUCCGGAAUUAUUGGGUUUAAAGGGUGCGUAGGCGGAUAGAUAAGUCAGUGGUGAAAGACGGUGGCUCAACCAUCGCAGUGCCGUUGAUACUGUUUAUCUUGAAUAUGGAUGAGGUAGGCGGAAUGUGGCAAGUAGCGGUGAAAUGCAUAGAUAUGCCACAGAACACCGAUUGCGAGGGCAGCUUACCAAGGCAAAAUUGACGCUGAGGCACGAAAGCGUGGGGAUCGAACAGGAUUAGAUACCCCGGUAGUCCCUGUCUCUUAUAC